GGACUACUGGGGUAUCUAAUCCUGUUUGCUCCCCACGCUUUCGUGCCUCAGCGUCAGUAUCGGGCCAGUGAGCCGCCUUCGCCACUGGUGUUCUUGCGAAUAUCUACGAAUUUCACCUCUACACUCGCAGUUCCACUCACCUCUCCCGAACUCAAGAUCUUCAGUAUCAAAGGCAGUUCUGGAGUUGAGCUCCAGGAUUUCACCCCUGACUUAAAGACCCGCCUACGCACCCUUUACGCCCAGUGAUUCCGAGCAACGCUAGCCCCCUUCGUAUUACCGCGGCUGCUGGCAC
Molecule: ribosomal RNA, 292 nt
Filed under: uncultured bacterium
Lineage: Bacteria
Description: partial 16S ribosomal RNA
Source: RNAcentral